AGCAAGGUCAGCUAAUUGAAGCUCUUGGGCUCAUACCCCGAAAAUGUUGGUUAAAUCCCUUCCCUCGCUA
Molecule: transfer RNA, 70 nt
Filed under: Ipnops sp. auip01
Lineage: Eukaryota; Metazoa; Chordata; Actinopteri; Aulopiformes; Ipnopidae
Description: tRNA-Met
Rfam family: tRNA
About the family: Transfer RNA (tRNA) molecules are approximately 80 nucleotides in length. Their secondary structure includes four short double-helical elements and three loops (D, anti-codon, and T loops).
Source: RNAcentral